GCAUAUCAAUAAGCGGAGGAAAAGAAACCAACAGGGAUUGCCCCAGUAACGGCGAGUGAAGCGGCAAUAGCUCAAAUUUGAAAUCUGGCUCUUUCAGGGUCCGAGUUGUAAUUUGCAGAGGGCGCUUUGGUGUCGGCAGCGGCCUAAGUUCCUUGGAACAGGUCAUCAUAGAGGGUGAGAAUCCCGUAUGUGGCUGCUUGUCUUCACCGUGUAAAGCCCCUUCGAUGAGUCGAGUUGUUUGGGAAUGCAGCUCUAAAUGGGAGGUAAAUUUCUUCUAAAGCUAAAUAUUGGCCAGAGACCGAUAGCGCACAAGUAGAGUGAUCGAAAGAUGAAAAGCACUUUGGAAAGAGAGUCAAAAAGCACGUGAAAUUGUUGAAAGGGAAGCGCUUGCAGCCAGACGUGCCCGUAGUUGCUCAUCUGGGGAUUUCCCCAGUGCACUCUUCUAUGGGCAGGCCAGCAUCAGUUCGGGCGGUUGGAGAAAGACCUGUGUCACGUAGCUCUCUUCGGGGAGUGUUAUAGGGCAGGUGGAAUGCAACCAGCCUGGACUGAGGUCCGCGCAUCUGCUAGGAUGCUGGCGUAAUGGCUGUAAGCGGCCCGUCUUGAAACACGGACCAAGGAGUCUAACAUCUAUGCGAGUGUUUGGGUGUCAAGCCCGAGCGCGUAAUGAAAGUGAACGGAGGUGGGAACCCCUCGGGGUGCACCAUCGACCGAUCCUGAUGUCUUCGGAUGGAUUUGAGUAAGAGCAUAGCUGUUGGGACCCGAAAGAUGGUGAACUAUGCCUGAAUAGGGUGAAGCCAGAGGAAACUCUGGUGGAGGCUCGCAGCGGUUCUGACGUGCAAAUCGAUCGUCAAAUUUGGGCAUAGGGGCGAAAGACUAAUCGAACUAUCUAGUAGCUGGUUCCUGCGA
RNAcentral lists this ribosomal RNA (906 nucleotides) under Melanomma pulvis-pyrius. Its description in RNAcentral is "LSU rRNA". It matches the Rfam family "Eukaryotic large subunit ribosomal RNA", at positions 38 to 963 of the family's 3401-position model. The record is from RNAcentral. Lineage: Eukaryota; Fungi; Ascomycota; Dothideomycetes; Pleosporales; Melanommataceae.